RNAcentral lists this ribosomal RNA (450 nucleotides) under uncultured bacterium. RNAcentral's name for it is "bacterial SSU rRNA". It matches the Rfam family "Bacterial small subunit ribosomal RNA", at positions 29 to 524 of the family's 1533-position model. The record is from RNAcentral.
AACGAACGCUGGCGGCAGGCCUAACACAUGCAAGUCGAACGCGUCCUUCGGGACGAGUGGCAGACGGGUGAGUAACGCGUGGGAACGUACCCUUUGGUUCGGAACAACAGCGGGAAACUGCUGCUAAUACCGGAUAAGCCCUUCGGGGGAAAGAUUUAUCGCCAGAGGAUCGGCCCGCGUUAGAUUAGCUUGUUGGUGAGGUAAUGGCUCACCAAGGCUACGAUCUAUAGCUGGUCCGAGAGGAUGAUCAGCCACACUGGGACUGAGACACGGCCCAGACUCUUACGGGAGGCAGCAGUGGGGAAUCUUGGACAAUGGGCGAAAGCCUGAUCCAGCCAUGCCGCGUGAAUGAUGAAGGCCCUAGGGUUGUAAAAUUCUUUCGACGGGGAAGAUAAUGACGGUACCCGUAGAAGAAGCUCCGGCUAACUUCGUGCCAGCAGCCGCGGUAAU